Molecule: ribosomal RNA, 1327 nt
Filed under: uncultured Alphaproteobacteria bacterium
Lineage: Bacteria; Pseudomonadati; Pseudomonadota; Alphaproteobacteria
Description: bacterial SSU rRNA
Rfam family: Bacterial small subunit ribosomal RNA
Source: RNAcentral
ACGUACGCUGGCGGCACGCCUAACACAUGCAAGUCGAACGAAGUAGCAAUACUUAGUGGCAGACGGGUGAGUAACAUGUAGGUAUCUGCCCUUUGGCCUGGAAUAACACGAGGAAACUUGUGCUAAUACCGGAUAAGUCUUUACGGAGAAAGCUUUAUGCACCAUUGGAUGAGCCUGCACUUGAUUAGUUUGUUGGUGGGGUAAUGGCCUACCAAGACUGUGAUCAAUAGCUGAUUUGAGAGGAUGAUCAGCCACAUUGGGACUGAGACACGGCCCAAACUCCUACGGGAGGCAGCAGUGGGGAAUCUUGCACAAUGGAGGAAACUCUGAUGCAGCGAUGCCGCGUGAGUGAAGAAGGCCCUUGGGUUGUAAAGCUCUUUCGUCGGGGAAGAAAAUGACUGUACCCGAAUAAGAAGGUCCGGCUAACUUCGUGCCAGCAGCCGCGGUAAUACGAAGGGACCUAGCGUAGUUCGGAAUUACUGGGCUUAAAGAGUUCGUAGGUGGUUGAAAAAGUUAGUGGUGAAAUCCCAGAGCUUAACUCUGGAACUGCCAUUAAAACUUUUUAGCUAGAGUAUGAUAGAGGAAAGCAGAAUUUCUAGUGUAGAGGUGAAAUUCGUAGAUAUUAGAAAGAAUACCAAUUGCGAAGGCAGCUUUCUGGAUCAUUACUGACACUGAGGAACGAAAGCAUGGGUAGCGAAGAGGAUUAGAUACCCUCGUAGUCCAUGCCGUAAACGAUGUGUGUUAGACGUUGGAAAUUUAUUUUCAGUGUCGCAGGGAAACCGAUAAACACACCGCCUGGGGAGUACGACCGCAAGGUUAAAACUCAAAUGAAUUGACGGGGACCCGCACAAGUAGUGGAGCAUGUGGUUUAAUUCGAAGAUACGCGCAGAACCUUACCAACACUUGACAUGUUCGUCGCGACUCUAAGAGAUUAGAGUUUUCGGUUCGGCCGGACGAAACACAGGUGCUGCAUGGCUGUCGUCAGCUCGUGUCGUGAGAUGUUGGGUUAAGUCCCGCAACGAGCGCAACCCUCACUUUUAGUUGCCAUCAUUAAGUUGGGCACUCUGAAAGAACUGCCAGUGAUAAGCUGGAGGAAGGUGGGGAUGACGUCAAGUCCUCAUGGCCCUUACGUGUUGGGCUACACACGUGCUACAAUGGUAUCUACAACAGGAAGCAAGACUGCGAAGUUAAGCAAAUCCCUAAAAGAUACCUCAGUUCGGAUUGCACUCUGCAACUCGAGUGCAUGAAGCUGGAAUUACUAGUAAUCGUGGAUCAGCGUGCCACGGUGAAUGCGUUCCCGGGUCUUGUACUCACCGCCCGUCAAGGG